Molecule: ribosomal RNA, 406 nt
Filed under: uncultured bacterium
Lineage: Bacteria
Description: partial 16S ribosomal RNA
Rfam family: Bacterial small subunit ribosomal RNA
Source: RNAcentral
AUUGAACGCUGGCGGCAGGCUUAACACAUGCAAGUCGAACGAGUGGCGGACGUGUGACUAAUGCCUGGGAAACUGUCCGAUGGAGGGGGAUUACUACUGGAAACGGUAGCCAAUACCGCAUACCAUCGGAUGUGCCUAGAUGGGAUUAGUUAGUAGGUGGGGUAACGGCGCAUCUAGGCGACGAUCCCUAGCUGGUCUGAGAGGAUGACCAGGCACACUGGAACUGAGAUGCGGUCCAGACUCCUACGGGAGGCGACGGAGGGGAGUGUAGCACAGUGGGAGCAGGCCUGAUGCAGCCAUGCCGCGUGUAUGAAAGAGGCCUGCGGGUUGUAGAGUACUUUCUGCUGGGAAGCGUUACCCGAAGAAGAAGGACCGGCUAACUCCGUGCCAGCAGCCGCGGUAAUUC